This 148-nucleotide non-coding RNA is filed under the name Vagococcus lutrae. Its description in RNAcentral is "GlcN6P sequence". It matches the Rfam family "glmS glucosamine-6-phosphate activated ribozyme aptamer". Rfam says of the family: This entry contains a glucosamine-6-phosphate activated ribozyme that is found in the mRNA for GlmS. RNAcentral also lists the same sequence under 1 other name. The record is from RNAcentral. Lineage: Bacteria; Bacillati; Bacillota; Bacilli; Lactobacillales; Enterococcaceae.
UAUACCAAUUAAGCGCCAGCUCUGUGCGAACAGAAGACGAGGAGAGAGUUAAUCGAUAUGUCGGCGGGUGGCUCUCAGGGUACGCGCUCUUUAGUAUUUUAAGAAACCUGAUUGUGAGAUGAGACUAAACUUAAAAUACAUGCGUUUG